RNAcentral lists this ribosomal RNA (474 nucleotides) under uncultured bacterium. RNAcentral describes it as "SSU rRNA". It matches the Rfam family "Bacterial small subunit ribosomal RNA", at positions 26 to 518 of the family's 1533-position model. The record is from RNAcentral.
AGGACGAACGCUGGCGGCGUGCUUAACACAUGCAAGUCGAACGGAAAGGCCCUUCGGGGUACUCGAGUGGCGAACGGGUGAGUAACACGUGGGUGAUCUGCCCCGCACUUUGGGAUAAGCCUGGGAAACUGGGUCUAAUACCGAAUAGGACCAUGGGAUGCAUGUCCUGUGGUGGAAAGCUUUUGCGGUGUGGGAUGGGCCCGCGGCCUAUCAGCUUGUUGGUGGGGUUAAGGCCUACCAAGGCGACGACGGGUAGCCGGCCUGAGAGGGUGUCCGGCCACACUGGGACUGAGAUACGGCCCAGACUCCUACGGGAGGCAGCAGUGGGGAAUAUUGCACAAUGGGCGCAAGCCUGAUGCAGCGACGCCGCGUGGGGGAUGACGGCCUUCGGUUGUAAACCUCUUUCAGUAGGGACGAAGCGCAAGUGACGGUACCUACAGAAGAAGCACCGGCCAACUACGUGCCAGCAGCCGC